RNAcentral lists this unclassified non-coding RNA (145 nucleotides) under uncultured Mortierella. RNAcentral's name for it is "sequence contains ITS1". Lineage: Eukaryota; Fungi; Mortierellomycota; Mortierellomycetes; Mortierellales; Mortierellaceae. The record is from RNAcentral.
UAACAAGUGUUUUAUGGCACUUUUUAAAUCCAUAUCCACCUUGUGUGCAAUGUCGGUUGGUUCUCUUUGAAAAAAGAGGCCAGCCAAACAUCAACCCUAUCUUAACUCUUUGUCUGAAAAAUAUUAUGAAUAAACAAUUCAAAUA